Molecule: ribosomal RNA, 452 nt
Filed under: uncultured bacterium
Lineage: Bacteria
Description: partial 16S ribosomal RNA
Rfam family: Bacterial small subunit ribosomal RNA
Source: RNAcentral
GAUGAACGCUGGCGGCGUGCCUAACACAUGCAAGUCGAGCGAUUUACUUCGGUAAAGAGCGGCGGACGGGUGAGUAACGCGUGGGUAACCUGCCCUGUACACACGGAUAACAUACCGAAAGGUAUGCUAAUACGAGAUAAUAUGCUUUUAUCGCAUGGUAGAAGUAUCAAAGCUUUUGCGGUACAGGAUGGACCCGCGUCUGAUUCGCUAGUUGGUGAGGUAACGGCUCACCAAGGCGACGAUCAGUAGCCGACCUGAGAGGGUGAUCGGCCACAUUGGAACUGAGACACGGUCCAAACUCCUACGGGAGGCAGCAGUGGGGAAUAUUGCACAAUGGGCGAAAGCCUGAUGCAGCAACGCCGCGUGAGCGAUGAAGGCCUUCGGGUCGUAAAGCUCUGUCCUCAAGGAAGAUAAUGACGGUACUUGAGGAGGAAGCCCCGGCUAACUACGUG